CAAGUUGAAAUACUGAUACUGAAAUCAUUAUGGUCAUUACUGUAAUGAUUAAAAUGUUAAGAAAAAGCUAGAGAUUGAGUUUCAAGAAAAGACCCUUGGGUUACUGUAAUGACCGAGCUGGAGUCUAGUUAUUUGACGUCAGGAAGUUAGUUGUAGAAGAUAUUCCAAAUAACAGAUUGCAUGUGUCGGUUAAUUGAUCGAGCAUGUGAGUCCUUUCAUAUUGCAUGCGUUAGUUAUAUUGUUAGAAUACCAGAAACUAGUAUAAAGCAGAGGAGGAAGAGAAGAGAUGUAGUUUUUGGAUGUAACAAUUCUCAUUUUCCGUCUAUACUAUCUUAGUCUUCCCCUGCUCUCUCUUCUCAUUUCCUCUGUAUCUGCAUUUCUCUCAAUUUCUGUCUUGAAUCCGUCCCUUGUUGGGCAGGUCCAGUACAAUUGGUAUCAGACGCUUGCGGUCCUUGGAUCUGCAAGCUCAACUACCGAAUCUGUAGCUGACUAUGGCGGAGGGCACCAGAAUGAAAGGCUUCGAGGAACAACUGAGGAAGCAGGAUUCUCGGAUCCAGAGCAUCCUUGAAGCCAAUGCAGCUGAAAGACUAGCACUGGAAGAGAAAUUGGCAACAAAUCACUCUGAUAUGAAGGCACUCUUGGAAGCGAACUCAGCUGAGAUGAAAAAUUUCAUGGUUUCCAUGAAUGCUCAAUACACCGCUUUUGUGAGAAGCUUGCAAAGCGACCGAGGGAUCUUAGGAAUUUCACCAGACAAUACGGAGAGGCAACCUGUCCAAAGGCCUCAGAGAAACUUGGAGUUGGGGCUAUCCAAUCAAGGAGAGAGGAAUUUCCUACCUGUAGGGACUCCUAAGGUGGAAUUCCCCAAAUUUGAUGGCUCUAACCCCAGAGAAUGGGUCAGGAGAUGUGAGAAGUUUUUCCGUUUAUGUCGCAUUCCUGAUUCGCAGCAUAUGGAUUUAGUGGAAUUGCAUCUGGAUGGGAAAGCUAGUAUUUGGUAUCAAGGUUUCAAGAUGGACAAGGGGGAGUUACGAUGGGACAGAUUCAGCCAAGAGUUUUGUAGUCGAUUUGGGAAUUUAGGGGAGGAUGACGUUAUAGAGGAGUUUAACAAGCUUCAUCAAACUUCCACAGUAAUUCACUACCAAGAAAGGUUUGAAGAGCUGCGAGCUGCCGUGAUGCUCAAGGUCCCUGGUCUUACUGAAUCAUAUUACAUCUCCAGUUUCCUAAGUGGCCUAAAGGAGGAGAUUAAGUCUGUGGUCAAGAUCCACAAACCUGCGCCCUUGCAAUCAGCAUUUGAGAAGGCGAGAUGGCAGGAGCAUUACUUACAGGUUAUGGCUAAGCAAUCUAGGAUGGCUACAAAACUAACUCAGGUUACGGAGACAAUACAGAAGAAGCCUGCACAUCAGAUGUUUGAUAGCAGCAACAACAAAACUACUCCCCAAGGCUCUAGGAGGAUUACCCCCACUGAGUUCCAGUACAGGAAGGAUCACAAUUUAUGUUUCAAAUGUGGAGAGAAGUUCUCCCCUGGGCAUGUUUGCAGGAAUAAGGGAAUUCAUUUGCUGCUAGCAGAUGAGGGCGAGGCUCAAGUAGAGGAAGUAGCAGAUGAAGAGGAUGAGGUCAUUGAGUAUCAAGGCAACAAGUAUGGCAGGGAUAUUACACUAUCCCUCCACUCAGUUUCUGGCCAAUUGUCUUCCAGUACCAUUAAGAUGUUGGGAGAUUAUGGUGAUCAAGAGGUGUCAAUCCUGCUGGAUGGAGGUAGCACCAACUGCUUCAUAAAGCCAACUAUUGCUCAACUCUACCCUGAAGCUGUUAAGAAUCAUAAACCUUUUAAAGUCAGAAUUGCUGAUGGGAAAGAAUUAGUUUGUGAGCAAUGGAUUCCUGGUAUGAAGUGGAUGAUGCAAGGCCAUCAUUUUACUCACAAUGUGUAUGUACUAGACUUGGAACCGUACGACCUGAUUUUGGGGGUUGACUGGAUGAAGUGUUAUAGCCCCAUGACUUUUGACUUUCAAAAGUUGUCACUAUCAUUUGAGAAGGAGGGUGAAAUGGUGUUACUACAAGGGGAUUCCCACUCUGCCAAGGUGUUGAUGAAGCAAGGAGUAUCAGCCCAGAAGUAUUGCAGAAACAAAAUCAGAACAGCCUUGCAACACUCUUGCAUGAUACGAGUACAAAACUCACAGGUAACUACUGUGCCCAAAACACUCACUCAAUUACUUGCUCAAUAUGAUGACAUAUUUGCUGCACCUACAACUUUACCCCCCAACCGUAGCCUCAAUCACCAAAUACCUUUGAAACCUGAUGCUAAACCUUUCAAGAUUAGGCCCUAUAGGUACCCCCACAGGCAAAAAACAGAAAUAGAAAGGCAAGUCAAGGAAAUGUUGGCCACUGGUAUCAUCCAAACCAGCCAUAGUCCUUUUGCAUCCCCAGCCUUACUAGUUAAAAAGAAGGAUGGCACUUGGAGGUUAUGCAUUGACUAUAGACAACUUAACAGCCUCACUAUCAAAGACAAGUUUCCCAUCCCAAUCAUUGAUGACCUCCUAGAUGAACUGCAGGGUGCCAAAAUUUUUUCAAAAAUUGAUUUGAGGUCAGGGUACCAUCAGAUAAGAAUGCAUCCAUCUGAUAUCCAAAAAACAGCUUUCAGGACCCACUCUGGCCUCUAUGAAUACUUAGUGAUGCCAUUUGGCCUCACUAAUGCACCAGCAACUUUCCAGGCUCUAAUGAACUCGGUAUUUGAACCUUUUAUUCGAAAAUUUGUGCUAGUGUUCUUUGAUGACAUUCUAGUUUACAGCCCGGAUUUUGACUCCCAUCUCAAACACCUCUCCCUUGUUCUUGACACCCUCAGAAAUCACUCCUUAUAUGCAAAAAUGUCUAAGUGUUCAUUUGGGCAAGAUAGAGUAGAGUACUUGGGGCAUAUAGUUACUGGUGAGGGAGUCUCUGCUGAUCCUGCAAAAGUGGAAGCUAUGCUGUCCUGGCCAUCUCCUACCACUGUUAAAGGUUUAAGGGGUUUUUUGGGACUGACAGGAUACUACAGGAGAUUUGUGAAGGGAUAUGGGAAGAUAGCUAAACCUUUAACUAAUCUGCUAAAGAAGGAUGGUUUCGGGUGGGAUGAACAAGCUGAGCAAGCUUUCCAAGAACUCAAACAUGCUAUGACUCAAGCUCCUGUACUAGCACUUCCUGAUUUCCUUGGAACAUUUGUAUUGGAAACCGAUGCUAGCCAAAAGACCAUUGGAGCAGUUUUGAUGCAGCAAGGUAGGCCUAUUGCUUUCAUGAGUCAGGCACUUGGACCCAAAAAUCAAACACUGUCCAUAUAUGAAAAGGAAUUAUUGUCAUUGAUUACUGCAGUAGGGAAAUGGAGACACUACUUGCUAGGAACUCACUUCAUAAUCAAAACUGAUCAUGAAAGUUUGAAAUACUUACUGGAACAAAAAAUCACUACACCUCUCCAGCAAAAAUGGUUAGCAAAGCUGAUGGGACUAGAUUAUGAGAUCCAAUAUAAAAGGGGUAAGGAUAACUUGGUGGCUGAUGCUCUAUCUAGAAGGAUGGAAGGAAGGGAUGAAGGGUCAGGUGGUGAGGAGGUGCAGGUCCAUGCCAUUACCACAGCAAAGCCAUUAUGGUUAGCAAGGGUCUCUAGCAGUUAUAAUUGGGAUGAGAAGGCCAAGGAACUACUGACUGCACUAGCGGUAGACAAAUCUAGUGUGCACGAUUACACAUACCAUCAAGGGAUUAUCAGGUAUAUGGGAAGAAUGUAUAUUGGGAGUAACUCAGAAUUAAGGGCUCAGCUCAUCAAUUGCAUGCAUGAUUCUGCAAUUGGAGGGCACUCGGGGAACCAAGGAACAUACCAGAGAAUGAAGAACUAUUUCUACUGGCCAGGCAUGAAAAAGGAUGUGGAAUCUUACGUACAGGCUUGUGACAUUUGCAAGAGGAGUAAAGGGGAGCAUUGCUCCUACCCAGGGUUGUUGCAGCCAUUGUCAAUUCCUGAGCAAGCAUGGCAGGAAAUUUCUAUGGAUUUUAUUGAAGGACUACCCAAAUCAUAUGGUCAUAAUGUCAUUUUUGUGGUGGUAGACAGAUUUACAAAAUAUGCUCACUUCACCUCCAUGACUUCUCACUACACUGCUAAGAGUGUGGCUCAGGUAUUCUUCGACCAAAUAUUCAGGUUACAUGGGCUGCCUAAUGGGAUUGUAUCUGAUAGAGACAAAGUGUUCACUAGUAUAUUCUGGCAAGAGCUUUUUAAGCAAGUAGGGACUGGACUUAGUUUCUCUUCUUCCUAUCACCCUCAGUCUGAUGGACAAACUGAGAGGGUGAAUAGGUGUCUAGAGACUUACUUAAGAGCUAUGUGCUUGCAGCAACCAGGCCAUUGGAAAAGGUGUUUACCUGCAGCUGAAUGGUGGUACAACACUAACUUCCACUCCAGUUUGCAGAUGACUCCGUUCCAAGCUUUAUAUGGCUACAAACCAUCCCAAUUGAGUUUGCACUCAAGUGACACUCAAGUUGCUGCUGUGGAGGAUUGGAUAAAGGAAAGGGUAAACUGGAAUACAUUGCUCAGGGAAAAUUUAUUGCAGGCUCAGAACCGAAUGAAGCAGUUUGCAGACAAACACAGAAUAGAUAGGUCCUUUGCUGAGGGUGAUUGGGUGUAUCUCAAGCUGCAGCCGUAUAGGCAGACUACGGUAGCACUAAGGAGGAACUUGAAGCUGGCAGCCAAGUAUUAUGGCCCAUAUCAGGUGGAAAAGAAGAUUGGGUCAGUUGCUUAUAGGCUCAAGCUUCCACAGGGUGCUGCUAUUCACCCUGUUUUCCAUGUUUCACUCUUGAAACCAACAUCUAAGGGAGCUCCUAUCAGCAAUGAAUUGCCACAAAUAUCGGAGGAAGGGCUCUACACUACUGCCCCCACUGCGGUUCUAGACAGAAGAAUGAUAGACAGGGCUGGUCAGCAGGUGGAGCAGGUCUUAAUUUGUUGGAAGAACAUGAAUGAGGAGGAUGCUACCUGGGAGGACUUGACUGUUAUACAAAGCCAAUUUCCAUCCUUCAAUCCUAGAGACUAGGAUUGUUUGAAGGGAGGGCAACUGUAAUGACCGAGCUGGAGUCUAGUUAUUUGACGUCAGGAAGUUAGUUGUAGAAGAUAUUCCAAAUAACAGAUUGCAUGUGUCGGUUAAUUGAUCGAGCAUGUGAGUCCUUUCAUAUUGCAUGCGUUAGUUAUAUUGUUAGAAUACCAGAAACUAGUAUAAAGCAGAGGAGGAAGAGAAGAGAUGUAGUUUUUGGAUGUAACAAUUCUCAUUUUCCGUCUAUACUAUCUUAGUCUUCCCCUGCUCUCUCUUCUCAUUUCCUCUGUAUCUGCAUUUCUCUCAAUUUCUGUCUUGAAUCCGUCCCUUGUUGGGCAGGUCCAGUACAGUUACUUGGCGCUAAGAUAGGCAUUGGUCAUUUAAGUUUCCUAUUCUUUGGGAAAUUCACUAUUAUUUGACCAUUUCAAUAUUCUUUUACCAUACUAGAGCUACUGUGUUUGGUUGACUGUAUCAUUGAUAGCUAUUUAAUGUAACUUGUCUUUACUCCUCACAGCUAAAAUGGAUUGAUGAGGAUUUCCUGAGCUAUGACUUUGUGUUCAAC
Molecule: long non-coding RNA, 5586 nt
Filed under: Coffea arabica (coffee)
Lineage: Eukaryota; Viridiplantae; Streptophyta; Magnoliopsida; Gentianales; Rubiaceae
Description: long non-coding RNA (CARA_LNC007548)
Source: RNAcentral